RNAcentral lists this long non-coding RNA (2732 nucleotides) under Papio anubis (olive baboon). RNAcentral's name for it is "lncRNA (ENSPANG00000040853.1)". The record is from RNAcentral. Lineage: Eukaryota; Metazoa; Chordata; Mammalia; Primates; Cercopithecidae.
AUGUGUGCAAACGCGGGAGGGCUUAACCAUAGAAUCAGCAGAGAGCACCAGUCCCCAAAACACAGCUGUCAGAGACACACACAGCCCUUCCACCCGCCGGCUUGUCACGGAGUGUUUCUCCCUCCCCCAAGCGUUACAUGUCAGAUUACUAUCAGAGCUCAGAGCAAGGCCAAGAUUUCAGGAGAGAAACUGAUACCAGGCAUUCUCAGCAUAGUAAAUACAACCCUGGGUGGGGGCGGGGCAGGGGGUUGGGGGGCCCUGCACUCCCCGGCAGAAGCUGCUCCCAACCGCUUCCCCAACACACUAUUCCAGACCCUUGAACGCUUCCUCCACAGUGUCCCCUCCGACACCACCGGCAGUGUGGCCCCUGGAGAAAGGAAGCCCCCUCCACAGAUGGCGCGAGGCUCCCAGGCGGCGGACUGGGGGCUGCCCGGAGGCGGCACUCACCGUGCAGCAGGGCAUGGGGGCGAGGCUGGGGUCCCUCCUCCGGCCGGUCCUGUGCCUGCUCUGCUCUGCUGCCUGUCUGGGUGGGCUGUGCCUGAGGCACGACCACUCCCCUCCCAGGCCGACGGGCUGCUCCAGACGGAGUAUCCAAGACUCUCCCGGCACAGGCGGGUAUUUCGGGAGAGCAGGUCAGGCUGGGGAUGGGGGUGGGGGUCACUGCAGGCGACAGUGGCUCUCACGGCGUGCCCAGGAGACUCGCAUCCCAGCUGCACCCACAACUGCCUCUCCGUACGCUCGCCUGGGGCUGCCAGCUGUCCCCCCCGCAGGACCUGCUGCUGCUGCAGCCGCCUUCUGGGCGUUAGGCGGACCUGGCUGCGUCCGCUGCAGUCCAGGAGUUGUGCGCGCUGCUGUUACCUAACACCUCGGAACGGCUCCGUCUCCGUAGCGGGCUCGCUUAGGGAUUGCAGUGGGAAGCAAAGGCUGCAUGGAGAAACACGUGCAGGGAAGACCCGCUGACAGGGCACGGCACCGCAGGACCGCCCAUGGCCUCUCACCUCAAGGAGAGGUGCGGCAGAGCACAGAGACGGUGGGUGGGCGGCAGCCUGGGGUCCCACAGCGAGUUAGCUGCCUCCCCAGUUCAGGCUGACUAGAAUUAUUCCCCAUCGCCUGGGUACUCGGGUCCCUCCAUGUCCAGCCCCCUCUGCCCCCCCCACCCACAGUCCCCAUGUUCACCCUUCCCCAGGGAAUGCCUGUAGCUUCUAGCAAGUGUCUUUUGGGAGGCAAGAGCACUGAGGCUGGGCCCAGGAAACUGCAGGCACCCAACACCCAACACACAGGAGAUCCUGGAGGCUGCAGGCACCCAACACACAGGUGAUCCCGGAGGCUACAGGCACCCAACACACAGGUGAUCCCGGAGGCUACAGGCACCCAACACACAGGUGAUCCCGGAGGCUGCCCAUGGGCGGGGGUGCGGGAAAGCAAGUGGACACGUGGUCUCAGAGCCCUCUCCCUUGUACCUGGAAUGUGUCAGCUGAACCAUACCUGGCCUCUGCUGUGGGCAUCUCUGCCUCCUGUGCACCAGUGAGGGGCAGGGCCAGCCUCUCCUUUGCACAGCUAGAUCUCCUGCUGGCCCAGAUGCCAGGUGACCACCUCAGCGUGCUGUGGGAAGUGGCCACAGCCACAGGAGCCGGGGCUGCAGGGGGUUCCAAGAGGGGUGCAUAGCGUGGCCACCCCCCCUCUGCCAGGCACCAUCCUGUGAACAUUGUGUGAACACAGUGCUCAGACCACUCCUGCGCCCAUCAAGGAGGGAGCAAAAGGCCUUGGAGGCCACGGCCUGGGUUUUGCCACUGGCUGGCAAGGCCACUCAGCUGCCCUGUGCUGACCUCAUGAGGAUCAGGGGAGGCGAUUUCUGUAUAGCCCAGUUCGUGGCCUGUAGUCAGGCUCAACAAGCACACGGUGACAUGGUGACACGCUUUCUCUCAUUCGGUCUCACAGAACACUGCCUGCCAUUCACCCGGUUCCCCAUUUGACAGAUGUGGACACCAAGUCUCGGUGUGGCUCACUGACUGGUCCCAGGUCCCUGAGGAAGGGUGGUUUGGGGGAUGGCGAGCUUCACACCCCGAGUGCACCUGAGCUGGGACAGCUAAGGCAGAAGGAGGCUGCUCUGUGGGGCUGGAUGUGGGGAGGAGGAUGGAGUACAGGUGAGGGGCUUGUACAUGUAAUCAUCUGUCCUUUCCAUUUUCAUCUUGUCCAUCUUGGGGAACCCUGGCAUUCCAGGACAUUCUGCACUCACUGGCCAGGGCCAGGGGCUCCCCACAUCAGUCACCGAGAGCACCUACGUCCCUGCACGGCCUCUCCCCUGUCUGGCCCCAGUAGAGAACCCUGACAGGACAGACUUCCUGUGCACUAAUAGAAGCCAGAGGGGCCAGCUAGAAGCUUCCAGAUGCCACCGACUUUACCAAGCAGAGUGUGGGUCAUUGCCAGCAUCCUGCCCACUGAUAAGGAAACAAGGUGGUCGGGGGAACCACCCAGUGGUAACCUGUCUGGGCAGGUCUGAGGGACAGGGGAUUGGACCACCGCACACACAGCACAGCUGCCCCAUCCUGCGCCUUUUCAUACCCACUGCAACCAUGGGAACUCUGUGGCAGGUCCUGGGGCCGGGAGCUGCUUGCAGUGUGGCUUUCUCCAGGGCUCGCUGGCCCUGAGAUCCAGAGUUGGAAGUUCUUGCAAUGGACUUUGGCCAGUGUCCUCCAUGGUUCGAUGGACACAGAGGAUGCAUUUAGUUUAUC